This 407-nucleotide ribosomal RNA is filed under the name uncultured bacterium. RNAcentral describes it as "bacterial SSU rRNA". It matches the Rfam family "Bacterial small subunit ribosomal RNA", at positions 355 to 774 of the family's 1533-position model. The record is from RNAcentral.
UGGGGAAUAUUGCACAAUGGGCGCAAGCCUGAUGCAGCGACGCCGCGUGAGGGAUGACGGCCUUCGGGUUGUAAACCUCUUUCAGCAGGGAAGAAGCGCAAGUGACGGUACCUGCAGAAGAAGCGCCGGCUAACUACGUGCCAGCAGCCGCGGUAAUACGUAGGGCGCAAGCGUUGUCCGGGAUUAUUGGGCGUAAAGAGCUCGUAGGCGGUUUGUCGCGUCUGCUGUGAAAACGCGAGGCUCAACCUCGCGCCUGCAGUGGGUACGGGCAGACUAGAGUGCGGUAGGGGAGACUGGAAUUCCUGGUGUAGCGGUGGAAUGCGCAGAUAUCAGGAGGAACACCGGUGGCGAAGGCGGGUCUCUGGGCCGUAACUGACGCUGAGGAGCGAAAGCAUGGGGAGCGAACA